RNAcentral lists this ribosomal RNA (468 nucleotides) under uncultured bacterium. Its description in RNAcentral is "partial 16S ribosomal RNA". It matches the Rfam family "Bacterial small subunit ribosomal RNA", at positions 28 to 507 of the family's 1533-position model. The record is from RNAcentral.
GACGAACGCUGGCGGUGUGCUCAACACAUGCAAGUCGAACGGUAAGGCCCUUUCGGGGGUACACGAGUGGCGAACGGGUGAGUAACACGUGAGUAACCUGCCCUCAUCUCUGGGAUAACAGUCGGAAACGGUUGCUAAUACUGGAUAUGAGCUUGCAAGGCAUCUUGUGGGUUGGAAAGAUUUUUUUUGGUUGGGGAUGGACUCGCGGCCUAUCAGCUUGUUGGUGAGGUAGUGGCUCACCAAGGCUUCGACGGGUAGCCGGCCUGAGAGGGCGACCGGCCACAUUGGGACUGAGAUACGGCCCAAACUCCUACGGGAGGCAGCAGUGGGGAAUAUUGCACAAUGGACGGAAGUCUGAUGCAGCAACGCCGCGUGCGGGAUGACGGCCUUCGGGUUGUAAACCGCUUUCAAUUGUGACGAAGCUUUUUUGUGACGGUAGCAGUAGAAGAAGCACCGGCUAACUACGUG